This 2730-nucleotide long non-coding RNA is filed under the name Amborella trichopoda. Its description in RNAcentral is "long non-coding RNA (ATRI_LNC003820)". Lineage: Eukaryota; Viridiplantae; Streptophyta; Magnoliopsida; Amborellales; Amborellaceae. The record is from RNAcentral.
UUCAAGCAAACCUCCAAUUUUGUGAUAUCAAAUCUAAAAACUAAAAAAAAUAAGAGGAGAAAUCUAAUUAGUAGUAAGCUUAUAACUACGGUUAGUGCAUUCAAUGAUAAAUUAGGCUAGGACAAUGGAUGAGAUUGAAGAGGUAUUUAAUUAUAUUACUUCAUGAUGGUGUUAUUUAUAAUAAUUUCGUUUUUGCUUGCCCAUGGUCGAUCUAUUCUUUCUGUUAGAUGGUGUUAUUUAUAAUGAUUUCGUUUUUGCUUGCCCAUAGUCGAUCUAUUCUUUCGAUCAAAUCUCAAGGUAAAAAUUGGAUUUAUGGAUUUUAUAAAUUAGAUAAUUUUCACACUCAAAUGAUCUCUCUUUUCUAAAUCGCUUAACGUAGAUCUCACUUUAAUCUCUCUCCAAAGAUCAAAGCUAAAAAUAAAUAAAUUGAAUAGAAUAUUUAAAUUAAAUAAUUCAAUUCAAUAUUUUAAUUCUAUAUUAGAUUAUUAUUCUACGUUUAUUUUCAAAUUUUUUUAUUUGAAUUCCAAAUAUCAAAAUAUUCAUUUUAUUAAUAUUUCAUAAUAUGUUGAAUAUUGAUUCCAUUAAGAAUAAAAGAUAGUUUUUGCGUCUGUGAUAGUGGAUAGGGCCAACCAAUUGUUUAAGUGAAAUAAAUAAUCAAACUAAACUUACGGACUAGAGGAAAUAGAUUUGUCUAUCUACGAUCUAAUUAUAUUGGUAUAGAUUUUCGGUUUCGAUUACCAAGGAAUAGAAGCUUUGCCAAUUAAAUCUGAAGAUUCACUGUGCUCGGCACCAAGAGGAUUAUUAGUUAGUGCGUAUCAUUUUAAGAUAAUACAAUAUGGUGUGGAUCAACCAGAAGAGGUAUGUAUAAAAGUAUUUGCCGCUUAAACAAGACUCGUAUUUAAGCCUUAGGUAGUUGUUAGAUCGAGAUCCAUAUGAGGGUUUUGCCAUAUAUAAGAGAAUAAGAGAUCAAUAAUAGAUACCGAGCACGAUCGGAAGGAGGAUAGGUGUACUGAACCCGGUUAAUCUCCGGCACUCUCUUUUUGUUUAUUGCCAUAUUUAAUUAUAGGGUGCGAUUUGUAUAGAGCCUAGGCUCUAAACAAUCAAAUUAGAGCCUACCUUCAAAUAGUAUCAAGAAAUGUAGUUUUAAUACUGAAAAUAUUUGGAUAGCCUUAACAUAUAUUUUCAUCUUUAUUUAUAAACUUUAAAGCUUAAAAAAUAAUGUAGAUCGAUAGAUCUACGAAAACUCGAAAAUCUUGAAAAUUGACGGUCCAAAAAUGCGUUACAAAAUAUACUAUUUCCAAAACUUGAAAUCCAUUUUUUUCUCAUCUUCAUGCAUCUUGAUGUCGGGAUGAUCAAUUUGAGGAUAUUUGAGCAUAAAAAAAAUCUGUUCUAGUGAAAUUUUUGUGGUAGGCUCAAAUUUGAUUGUUUAGAGCCUCGGCUCUAUAUAAACUUUUGCUUAAUUAUAUUGUUUUUAUAUUCCCAAGCAUAAGAAUUCUUGUCAUAUUUAAUUAUAUUCUACUUAUAUUCCCAAGCAUAAGAAUUGUGGAUAUAUUUUUUGUUUAAAGAAAAUUGAUUUAAUGACAUUAAGGUUUUUAAGAACUUGAUUUAAUGGCAUCAAGGUUUUUAAGAUAUUGGAUUUGUUAGUUUUAUUUUCUUUGCAGCAAGAGUUAUUGUAAUAACAAUGAUUUUUGUCAAAAGAAAAGAAAACAAAAAAAGGGUGGAAAAAUAAAAAAUAAAAAAUUAUAUUCCACGGCAAGAUCACAUAGACCAGAAUAUUUUACCUGCCAUUGAUCAAGUGAGUGUUUCAUUGCCUUUCAGGAAUUUGUGCUUAACUGCAUCUGUGUAUUGAUAGGUAUUGUGGUUGACACUGGAAUUUCUCUCUCUACAUGAUUUGGUUCAUUUAUGUAGUCAGCUUGUGUAGCCAUUUUGUAUAACUUCAUUGAAAAUUACUAUUUUUUGUCUUAUUUUUGUAAAAUAAUUUUGGGCAAAUUUUCUAUACUGCAUAUGCCUUUCUCUAAUGCACCGGGUGAUCUUUCAAUGGAUUUUGCAGGUUUUAACUUCUAUUUAUGUCAUGUGUAGUCAUCUAGGCACACACGUGACUUCAUUGAAAUACAAAAGUUACUGAUUUUUUUAUCUUAUUUUUGUAAAAUAAUCUUGGUACAUAUGUGAAUUCAUUGAACUAUAAAAGUUACUGAUUUUUUUAUCUUAUUUUUGUAAAACAAUGUUGGACAAAUUUUGUGUAAUGCACAUCUUUCUCUCGUGCACGGGUGAUUGUUGAAUGAAUUUUACAGGUGUUAUUUUUAUAAAAUAAUUUAUCAAUUAUGCAAGUAUUAGUUUUGUAAAAUAAUUUUUGAUAAUUUUUUUAGUAGUACACAUCUACGUGUCAUACAGGGUAUCUCAUCUUUCUUUCAUGCACUGGAUGUCUCAUUUAAGGUGAUUAUUGUUCAAUGGAUUUUGCAGAUGUGAAUCCAUCCUAGUCGUCUUGCAAUGUGAAUCUGAUAGGGAAAAGAUAUUAGUAAUGGUUAAAGCUUUUGCCGUUCAGAUCCCCAAAGUGCAGAACAAUCACCUAAAUAUACGAUGUUAAAACAAAGGUAUAACUGGAAUUGUUUAAAAGUUGUUAAAACAAAGGUAUAACUAUAAUUGUUUAAAAGUUGUUAAAGCAAAGGCUGUUACUAAAAUGUAACCCACUUCGAAAAAAAGUGUAAAUGAAUUAAAUGUGAUUUGUUGUUC